RNAcentral lists this ribosomal RNA (229 nucleotides) under uncultured bacterium. RNAcentral describes it as "partial 16S ribosomal RNA". It matches the Rfam family "Bacterial small subunit ribosomal RNA", at positions 568 to 796 of the family's 1533-position model. The record is from RNAcentral.
UCCGUAGGUGGAUAACUAAGUCAGGGGUGAAAGUCUGCAGCUCAACUGUAGAAUUGCCCUUGAUACUGGUUGUCUUGAGUCAUUAUGAAGUAGUUAGAAUAUGUAGUGUAGCGGUGAAAUGCAUAGAUAUUACAUAGAAUACCAAUUGCGAAGGCAGAUCACUAAUAAUAUAUUGACGCUGAUGGACGAAAGCGUGGGGAGCGAACAGGAUUAGAUACCCUGGUAGUCC